GAAGAUUUCUGAAUGUCGAGAGGGGGUAUUAUAAAGACGGAAUAAUUUAUAUAUGUAAAAAAAAAAUAUCUCCAAACCUGAAAGAAUUGAAGAUGACAUUCUGCUAUGUGAAAAUAUGUGCGUGUAUUUGUUACCAUACUCAUUGGUAAUUUGUUGAAUGUUCAAAACGAACAUUGUUCCCAAACACCGGAACUGCAACACUUGACGUUUUCAGGAGAUGAGACACACAUCAAUGAUUUCUGGUAGAAAACUGAAGCAAGAUUAUCAAUCAAUUGGAAGAGAAAGAUAUUUUAUAUCGGAAAGCAGAUAAAGGCAAUAAGCACUUCCUAAGGUGAUUCCCGUUUUUGACGCGCAGACAAGUUGGCGAUGUGCUCCCACCCUUCCUUCGUCAAAACAAGUUCUCCACACCAGAGCUUACUCGAUUCCAAGCUCGCGUUCAGUCAAAGACGCAAUUUAGAGGGUGCUGGAUGACGCUGUGGCAUUCGGUUUCAUCAGAGUUCGCGCGAAAAUUUUGAGCAUCGGACGUUUGGCGGAGUUUUGUGAGUUGUGGAGGAUGUUUUAUGAAGUUUAGUGAGGCUCGUUGACAAUACAAUCAGUGAAAAAAGAAAUUUUGGUUUUAAUGCUUCUAGUGACUUUCCUCGUGUGAAAUGUUUCAUUUGACGAUUGAAAGUAACGAUGGGGUUCAAUAAUACCUAAGAUUUCCACCGGAUUUGGCGAGCCUUUCAAUCCCCGUAGAAUAAAACCUCGUGAAAGUUUCAAUUAAGACGAAGUGCCGGAACUGAACCUUUAAAAAAAUAAACACACGGCACAGCACUUUGACACCAUGCGGGCGACUUCAUUGCCGUUCGUGAUGGGGUUCAGUUGGGUGUUGUUGGCGGCGGUCGUUCUGGCGGCGGCCGGAGAUGUGGCGCAUCUCUCCUUCUCCGGAUCGAGAUGUCCCAGGGCGUGUUCUUGUGUGGGGACGACGGUAGAUUGCUCCAGGAGGGGUCUGACUGCGGUGCCGAGGAACAUUCCUUUGGAUACUGA
RNAcentral lists this long non-coding RNA (1026 nucleotides) under Leptinotarsa decemlineata (Colorado potato beetle). RNAcentral describes it as "uncharacterized LOC111509453, transcript variant X1". The record is from RNAcentral. Lineage: Eukaryota; Metazoa; Arthropoda; Insecta; Coleoptera; Chrysomelidae.